This is a long non-coding RNA of Lagenorhynchus albirostris (white-beaked dolphin), 362 nucleotides long. RefSeq lists it as uncharacterized. NCBI's taxonomy places the organism in Eukaryota, Metazoa, Chordata, Mammalia, Artiodactyla, Delphinidae. The transcript is spliced from 3 exons. The record is from RefSeq and is a predicted model, not a curated record.
CUCACUGUUGUGGCUCAUGGGCCUAGCCACUCUGCAGCAUGUGGGAUCUUCCCGGACCGGGGCACGAACCCGUGUCCCCUGCAUCAGCAGGCGGACUCUCAACCACUGUGCCACCAGGUCCCCAAACCAGCCAUGACUAGGUUUGCUGAGCAAGGUAUAAGAAGACAGGUAAAGAAACAUCACUGUUAUUGGACCACGCUUUUUCUCUGUGGCAAAAUAGCACCGAGGCAGCCACUGGGACCUUCUGGAAACAGACCACAAGUGAGAGCAACUGCUUGGAUCACACUCUCAGCUCCUGGCUGACCAGCAUUUCCUAUCAUAUACCCUACACAUCUGGGCCCCCGCAGAAAGUACUAGAAAGG